AGCAAUUCUCAGUGGGAUAAUGAAUGGGUGGAUGAGAAUUGUGAGGAAUCGACUUGGACUGCUGUUGAUGAAGCUAUUGGUGCAUUUGAGAAUAUACAAGGCCACAACUUGCCUAGGGCUGUAGCUACUCGUGUAGCAGCCUUUGUCAGCCAGAUGUAUACUAGGAAGAGUCCAAGGACUGCUGUAGCUACAACUCCAGAUUUCAUUAAUGAUGAAAAAUGAUGACCAUGAAACACAAGUUCAACCCCUUGAUGCUGAAGUAGGAAUGAAGAAAAUCAGCAAACAUAUGGAGGCUAGGACAAGAAUAUGGAGUCAGAUCUCAUGGGUCACCGCUAGGAUUCAACAGAUAAUAUGUAUCGAAAGGAUCGAUGACAGGAAAAGGAGGAACUUCGGAACUGCCAUCUUUG
Long non-coding RNA from Sorghum bicolor (sorghum), 407 nucleotides. RefSeq lists it as uncharacterized. NCBI's taxonomy places the organism in Eukaryota, Viridiplantae, Streptophyta, Magnoliopsida, Poales, Poaceae. The transcript has 3 exons. The record is from RefSeq and is a predicted model, not a curated record.